RNAcentral lists this ribosomal RNA (1137 nucleotides) under Rhizopus microsporus var. chinensis. RNAcentral's name for it is "SSU rRNA". It matches the Rfam family "Eukaryotic small subunit ribosomal RNA", at positions 20 to 1162 of the family's 1831-position model. The record is from RNAcentral. Lineage: Eukaryota; Fungi; Mucoromycota; Mucoromycetes; Mucorales; Rhizopodaceae.
GUAGUCAUAUGCUUGUCUCAAAGAUUAAGCCAUGCAUGUCUAAGUAUAAAUAACUUUAUAUUGUGAAACUGCGAAUGGCUCAUUAAAUCAGUUAUGAUCUACGUGACAAAUUCUUUACUACUUGGAUAACCGUGGUAAUUCUAGAGCUAAUACAUGCAAAAAAGCCCUGACUCACGAAGGGGUGCACUUAUUAGAUAAAACCAACGCGGGGUAAAACCUGUUUCGUGGUGAAUCAUAAUAAUUAAGCGGAUCGCAUGGCCUUGAGCCGGCGACGGUCCACUCGAUUUUCUGCCCUAUCAUGGUUGAGAUUGUAAGAUAGAGGCUUACAAUGCCUAUAACGGGUAACGGGGAAUUAGGGUUCGAUUCCGGAGAGGGAGCCUGAGAAACGGCUACCACAUCCAAGGAAGGCAGCAGGCGCGCAAAUUACCCAAUCCCGACACGGGGAGGUAGUGACAAUACAUAACAAUGCAGGGCCUUUACGGUCUUGCAAUUGGAAUGAGUACAAUUUAAAUCCCUUAACGAGGAUCAAUUGGAGGGCAAGUCUGGUGCCAGCAGCCGCGGUAAUUCCAGCUCCAAUAGCGUAUAUUAAAGUUGUUGCAGUUAAAACGUCCGUAGUCAAACUUUAGUCUUACCGGCGCGGUGGCCUGGUCUUCAUUGAUCAAGCUCGCUGUCGCUGGAGACUCCACGUCCGCUGGCUCCUAGUCCUCGUGGCUAGGGUUUUGUGGACAAUUACCAUGAGCAAAUCAGAGUGUUUAAAGCAGGCUUUUAAGCUUGAAUGUGUUAGCAUGGAAUAAUGAAAUAUGACUUUAGUCCUAUUUUCGUUGGUUUAGGUACUAUAGUAAUGAUUAAUAGAAACGGUUGGGGGCAUUUGUAUUUGGCCGCUAGAGGUGAAAUUCUUGGAUUGGCCGAAGACAAACUACUGCGAAAGCAUUUGACCCAGGACGUUUUCAUUGAUCAAGGUCUAAAGUUAAGGGAUCGAAGACGAUUAGAUACCGUCGUAGUCUUAACCACAAACUAUGCCGACUAGAGAUUGGGCGUGUUUCUUUUGACUCGCUCAGCAUCUUAGCGAAAGUAAAGUUUUUGGGUUCUGGGGGGAGUAUGGGACGCAAGGCUGAAACUUAAAGGAAUUGACGGAAG